Molecule: RNA transcript, 2597 nt
Organism: Plectropomus leopardus (leopard coralgrouper)
Lineage: Eukaryota; Metazoa; Chordata; Actinopteri; Perciformes; Serranidae
Gene name: beta-galactosidase-1-like protein 2
Source: RefSeq, a predicted model, not a curated record
UAGCUCCAAAAAUGGAACCAAACCAAAGUUGAUUUUUUCAGGUCGUGUUUCGUUUUUGAAGUUUUUUAUUCAACGUUAGCAACGUUACGGAUAAUCUAAUAUGGGGUAGCUCAACUUCACUUAUAAAUUUAUCAUGUAAGACCAGUUUAGCGAAACUGGAUUAGAAUAUUUGAUAUAGUCGUUCGACCUCACUGGAAAUCAAUAUGCAGUUUUAUUCGCAUAAACUCAAGACAACUACAGGGUGCAACUGUUAGUGAGGUCGUGUUGUUGUCAGUGGAAAGCAUACCAAUGGUUUGGCUUCGUAUGUCCCUGCAGCGAAGAUAUUUUCUCCUGCUGUGUUUUGCCGCCGGUGUGAUAAUUGCUUAUCAGUUUAUAAGGAGUCACACUGAAGUAGGAAGAAUGAGCCGUGUGGAGGGUCUUAGGGCCAACUCGUCUCAGUUCACCCUGGAGGGAGAGCCCUUCCGCAUCCUGGGAGGCUCUAUCCAUUACUUCCGUGUCCCCAAAGCCCACUGGGAGGACCGUCUGCUGAAGAUGAAGGCCUGUGGCCUCAAUACUCUCACGACGUACGUGCCAUGGAACCUGCAUGAGCCUGAGCGAGGGGUGUUCAACUUUGAGGAUCAGCUGGAUUUAGAAGCCUACCUCCGACUUGCGGCCAGCUUGGGCCUCUGGGUGAUUCUGCGUCCAGGGCCGUACAUCUGUGCUGAAUGGGAUUUAGGGGGACUACCCAGUUGGCUUCUACGGGAUCAAAACAUGAAACUGAGAACUACCUACCCAGGAUUCACUGAUGCAGUCAACUCCUUCUUUAAUCGGCUCAUUAAGAAAGUUGUUCCACAUCAGUACUCCAAGGGUGGCCCGAUUAUUGCGGUUCAAGUGGAAAAUGAAUAUGGCUCCUAUGCCCAAGAUGAAGAGUACAUGCCCUUCAUCAAGGAGGCGCUAUUGUCAAGGGGCAUCACAGAGCUGCUGCUGACCUCAGACAACAAGGAAGGACUAAAGCGUGGAGGAGUGAAAGAAGCACUAGAAACUAUCAAUUUCCAGAAACUGAACCCGAAUGACAUCAAGUAUCUGGAUGGAAUACAACCUCACAAGCCAAAGAUGGUCAUGGAGUACUGGUCUGGCUGGUUCGAUCUCUGGGGGGACCUUCAUCAUGUGUACACAGCUGAGGACAUGUUGCCAGUGGUCACAGAGAUCCUUAAACAGGACAUGUCCAUCAACCUCUACAUGUUCCACGGUGGAACAAAUUUUGGCUUCAUGAGCGGAGCAUUUGCUGUUGGGAUGCCAGCACCUAGACCUAUGGUGACAAGCUAUGAUUACGAUGCUCCAUUAUCCGAGGCUGGGGAUUACACCACCAAGUACCAUCUUCUGAGGAAUUUAUUCAGCCACUACCACACCCAGCCUCUCCCUGAACUGCCCUCUCAACGAGAGAGGAGAGCGUACCAGCCUGUUGUCAUCCAGCAGCACCUGUCUCUGUGGGACAGCCUGCAUUUCACUGACAAGCCUUUUAAGUCAGAGAGACCAGUGAACAUGGAGAAUCUCCCUGUCAACAAUAACAACGGUCAGUCUUAUGGCUACACGCUGUACGAGACCGCCAUCACCAGCGAAGGAACCCUCUACUCGAAGAACAACAUCAGAGACAGAGCUCUGGUUUUUGUGGACAAACGUUUUGUCGGUGUUCUGGAUUAUAAGACACAAGAACUUGCACUCCCCGAUGGGAAGGGAAAAAGAACUUUAAGUCUGCUGGUGGAGAACUGUGGAAGAGUGAAUUAUGGUAAAACGCUGGACGAGCAGCGCAAAGGUCUUGUAGGAGAUAUCGAGCUGAACAAACGCCCCCUCCGUGACUUCAUUAUUCACAGUCUGGAUAUGAAGCCUGGCUUUGUAAACAGACUUGAAAGUUCAGGCCACUGGAUGUCGAUGCGUCAGCGGUCCUCCUUCCCAGGGUUUUUCCAGGCCAGAUUCUAUGUGAACAGUUUUCCUAAAGACACCUUCAUCAAGCUCCCUGGCUGGAGCAAAGGUGUUGUGUUUAUCAACGGCAAGAAUCUGGGACGCUACUGGUCCAUUGGUCCUCAGCAAACUCUCUAUGUCCCAGGGCCCUGGCUUCACAGGGGGGACAACCAGGUCAUAGUGUUUGAAGAGCAGGAAACAGAUGGCAAGAUUCAGUUCGCCCGCAGCCCGGACUAUGGCAUGACUGUUGAUGUCCAGUGAGGACAGGAGGGCCGUUACUCUGGCCCAUAAAUAGGCCCGUUGGAGGUGAUGGAGGGCCUCAGAGGGAGACGAAGCACUUCAGCUGAUUCCCAGAGAAAGAUCACCAGCGUCUGCCUCCACAGCGACUCACCACCUCUAUCUGAACCACUACAUCCUACCAAGCAAGACCAUCCAUUCAUCUGCUGGCUUUUCACAGCUCCAACCUGUCCCAACUCCUUGUCUUCUUGUCAGACCUGCCUCAGAGGAGGUUAUCUUCCCAAAUAAACCCACCAUCGUCAUCCACCCAUCUGUGUUCGAGUCUGCUUUUGGGUCCUAAAGAACACUAAGCCCCGACAACAACAAAAUGAGAGAAAUACAAAUAUAUACAAACAAAUACAAUUAUGGAAAUAAUAAAACAC